Molecule: transfer RNA, 69 nt
Filed under: Marmota monax (woodchuck)
Lineage: Eukaryota; Metazoa; Chordata; Mammalia; Rodentia; Sciuridae
Rfam family: tRNA
About the family: Transfer RNA (tRNA) molecules are approximately 80 nucleotides in length. Their secondary structure includes four short double-helical elements and three loops (D, anti-codon, and T loops). Further hydrogen bonds mediate the characteristic L-shaped molecular structure. tRNAs have two regions of fundamental functional importance: the anti-codon, which is responsible for specific mRNA codon recognition, and the 3' end, to which the tRNAs corresponding amino acid is attached (by aminoacyl-tRNA synthetases). tRNAs cope with the degeneracy of the genetic code in two manners: having more than one tRNA (with a specific anti-codon) for a particular amino acid; and 'wobble' base-pairing, i.e. permitting non-standard base-pairing at the 3rd anti-codon position.
Source: Rfam by way of RNAcentral
GGAAUUGUGGCUCAGUGGUAGAGCACUUGCCUUGCAAGCAUGAGACAUUGGGUUCGAUUCUCAGCACCG